CCUGUUUUCCAUAUUUAAGUCCCAAAUUUUGACUGACAAAUAGUCUCUAGUCAUCAUAUAUCGACCACUAUGGCUGAAUUUUACAUCCGAAAUAGAGGAGAUGAUUUCGGAAAAAAAUGACCUGUUACUGGGAUCUUCAGGUUCUUGAUUAAUCCGCAAAUCAUCUGCAGAUAAAUAUGUUUCAUAAUCACUAUUAAUAGAAAUUGAGUUGAUGUGAUAUGUAUGAGCAUUGGCAAAUAUUCUUCGUGGACUGGCCUCAACCAUUAGAUCCAUAGGCCUAAAGACUGGCACCU
This 293-nucleotide long non-coding RNA is filed under the name Homo sapiens (human). Its description in RNAcentral is "HSALNT0134449". The record is from RNAcentral. Lineage: Eukaryota; Metazoa; Chordata; Mammalia; Primates; Hominidae.